Molecule: long non-coding RNA, 1084 nt
Filed under: Gossypium barbadense (sea-island cotton)
Lineage: Eukaryota; Viridiplantae; Streptophyta; Magnoliopsida; Malvales; Malvaceae
Description: long non-coding RNA (GBAR_LNC020272)
Source: RNAcentral
CAUUCAAUAGCCCCCUCGUGUAGUUCUUCUGAAUUUUGAAUAGUAUUCAAGAUCCUCUCUUUUCGAUUAUCUAAUAAAUCACUUAAUGAAAGUUGAAUAUCUUUCCAUUCAUUUUUUUAUUUCAAAAAUUCCAUGUUCUCUUCCCAAACCAAACAUGAACCUUUCGAUUCAUUUGGCUCUCACACUCAAUUAUUUCUUAUUUAUUGGGAAUUAAUUUUGAAUAUCUUUUUUUCUAAUGUAAUGAGCUUACCCUAUCCCUCUCGUCUCUAUUCAUAUUCCAAAAUAUCGAAACUGAUUACUAACCCAAGACCAGAAUAUUCGGAGGAUUCUUCUGACCAAAAUAGAAAAUAUAUCAAAAAAUUAAAAAGUACAAUAAAAAAUAAAAAAUUUACAUAUAAUUUGAAAUUUCUAAUUGUACUUAGAAUUGUAUAAUGUAUAAUUGUAAUUUGUCAGCAAAGUUGUUUCUUUUUUUCUUCAAAUUCAAAGAAUUCUUCUCCCUUUAUACAUAGGUCAUCGAUUCAACAUUGGAAAAAGGGGUUCAAAUCGUUUUAUCGACAUAAGUGUUUGAACUUCAAACGGGUUUGGCCUUAACCAUGUUAAUGGUCCCAGAUUAUUGGUUAAUAGAGAAUCAAAGUCCAUCGUACCAAUGAAUCACGAAAUGAUAUGGUUCUAUAAUAUGAUUUUAAAAAUUUAUUCAGAAGUAAUUCGCGGGAUCAUGCACUCUUUUCUUUCCUAGUUAUAAUGAAAAAAAGUACAACUGGGUGAAUCCAACCUAUUCUUGAAAUAAACAACUCGCACACACUCCCUUUCCAAAAAAGAUCAAUACACCAAGGACUACACUUAGAUUCAUUGGAUUUGUUGCUAAAAUAUCGGUAUUAACCCCGAAACUCCCGGCGGAUGGCCAGUGACCCAAGGAAACGAAAGAAUCGGUUAAAUUUUUUAUAUGAUCUCCUAUUUUAUUUUAGAUAGACCUUUUUUUUGUAUUAUAUCGCUUUGACUCCUUUUCCAUUUAUUCUAUUCUAUCAUAUUUAUAUUAUUCUAAUUAUUCUAAUUCUAUGUAUUUCUUUUUUUGUUUUAAUAAUUA